CUCUGAAGUUGGCUGCAGGUAAUUUGAUGAAGCCCGGAACUCCAAAAAGGAAUGUGUAGCUGAUUUGGACAUCAUCGAUUCUUUUUGGCUUAUACCUCUACCUUACAAACUCAGUCCCUGAUGCCAUCUGAUAACCCCCUCUGAAACAUUUUGACAGAAUUGGUAAUCUUCUUCUAAAGAAUAGCCUCGUGGUGAUCAUCAGGUUGAGUUCUUGCUGCCAUGCAUGUCUUGAGAUUAUUUUGUCAAGGCCAAUUGACUGAGCUUGGUCAUACUUGUCUGCGUCACCACCACUUUAACAAGAGUAGAAAAGUCAAGGAAUUUCACUGUUGGUCUCCUUUCUUGCCAUUGAUAUUUGUCUCUUUGCCCCAAAGAUUUUAUCAACCAUGAUUAAUUAUUUCAGGUGUGCAGACAUCAAUUCAAGCCACAUAUUAAGCAAUAAGGUAGUCUGGUAGUGUUGUACCAUGCCUUGAAUAUUGAUUUUGCAUGACUUCCUUUUGAUUGAGAAGGAGCCACGUAGCUAGGAUAAUUGAGAAUUACACUUUCAGUUAUGUUUUGUAGCUUAUGUUCUUGUGUGCAGGUCUUGAAUAUAAUUAAGCCAACAAUAUGAAAUUUUGCCUUGCAAACACUAUCCAAACCGUACGCGUUGCUCCACAACUGCGGAAGCUUUGACAUAUUUUUUUGGGAUUGAUAGAACUUGUUCCAUCCUUCGUGCCAACUGGACUACUUGAUUCGCGGUAGGUGCUAGGGGACUCACAUCCUUGCUCCAUUUUGUUGCUGCCAUGUAAUGAUCGAAGCAAUUAUUCUCAAGGAGAGCACCACCCUUUGUUGACGCAGCAGUCUUUCACCAGGAAAGUACCAUCAUGGUCACUUUGCUUUCGCCACCUAUACGCAAGACGCACCGCCAUAUAGGCAUCGAGAAGCAAAGUGAGGCAAGAAUGGCGUUGUGGUUUUGAUUUGUGCCAGAGAGACUAUUGUGGGCAGCAGCUCGACUUCUCCGUGAUUGCUGAUGUGGUAAUCGCCUUGGUCACCAGCAGGAGAUUAUGAGGAUGAGAGCAACACAGACACCCCAGAGAGAUUUUUGGCCAUGCUUCAUGGAUCUUAACACUUGACAAUGUCUACACCAUGAAAGGAAAAGUUCAGUAAUUUCAGGUGAUAAUCAUAAUUAUAUACCUGUGACUUAUGGAGCUUCUUCUACUGAAACGUGGUUCUCCGUAUGUGGCUUCUCUUGGAUAGCUUUAAGAAUGGAAUGUUGUAGGACU
Rosa chinensis is the source of this 1259-nucleotide long non-coding RNA. RefSeq lists it as uncharacterized. The transcript is spliced from 3 exons. The record is from RefSeq and is a predicted model, not a curated record. Lineage: Eukaryota; Viridiplantae; Streptophyta; Magnoliopsida; Rosales; Rosaceae.